CAGCCGCCACGGUAAUACGAAGGGUGCAAGCGUUAAUCGGAAUUACUGGGCGUAAAGCGUGCGUAGGCGGUUUGUUAAGUCUGUUGUGAAAUCCCCGGGCUCAACCUGGGAAUGGCAAUGGAUACUGGCAAGCUAGAGUGUGUCAGAGGAUGGUGGAAUUCCCGGUGUAGCGGUGAAAUGCGUAGAGAUCGGGAGGAACAUCAGUGGCGAAGGCGGCCAUCUGGGACAACACUGACGCUGAGGCACGAAAGCGUGGGGAGCAAACAGGAUUAGAUACCCCCGUAGUCCCUGUCUCUUAUAC
This 301-nucleotide ribosomal RNA is filed under the name uncultured bacterium. RNAcentral describes it as "partial 16S ribosomal RNA". It matches the Rfam family "Bacterial small subunit ribosomal RNA", at positions 509 to 807 of the family's 1533-position model. The record is from RNAcentral.